CUUCCUUCCUCUCGGAGAGAACAACUCGAAGGAAAAAAAAAUUCCGACCCAAAAAAUCAUGCUACCUCUUUCUUCUUCUGAUUAUUCUGCCGAUGAUUAACUUAAGACCUAGAAUAUUAAAUUUGUGAAGGAAAAGAUGUAGUUUUCUUGGAAGUUCGUGGGGAUGAGUUUUUUUAAUUUUCCCAAAGGUUUCCCUCAAUGAAAGCUGAGAACAUGAAAAUAAGGAGCUAACUAAAAUUCAAAACACACCAAGCAGCUCAAACUCCACACAACAAUGAAGUUUGCACUGCGGCGGAGUCGCUUAGUCCAAUAUAAGGAGACGAGCAGCAGUCUAGAACGUACUGCGCUCCUCCUUUUGGGAUGAUGAACAUGUCAUUCUGAGGAGAAUAACCAGUUGCGGAUCAGCUUAAGUGUACGUGCAAGCCGUGGACUCAGUAUAACUCAACGAUCAACUUAUGGAGCAAGAGAAAGUCUUGCGCUGCCAACCUCACAGCUUUACGAAGUGACAGAACAGUUCAAAGUUCAUAUUUUUGUCAGUACUAAGCACAUCCGGUUACACUAUUUAAGUUAAAGAAGACACCGAAAAGAUGGGAGGCGCAAAAAUUGUCCAAGGAACUUCGCUAGUAAAGCCCUACGACAAUUUGGUUUGGUUCAAGCUGUGGUUCUUCAUCUUCUACAUUUUAUCCUAUUCCAGUAAUGUAGAUUGUAACUGCAGUGAUUAAAUUGCUAACACUUAAGUUGUUCUAAGGGUUUAUACUCGCUUUCCUCACAAGUUUCAGUUGGAUGGCUUUUGCAGAACUGUUAACACAAAAAGUUUGAAGAAUAUCGCCAAGAUGAUCAGUUCAGUUCUGGAAACAAACUAGCUCAACUACUGAGCUUCGAACUUCUUGAGGCGUUGCUUGUGGAGCAUUUGCCUAGAUUCUUACUCACAUAAAAUCCAUUCAAGUCCCUCUUUCCUGAUAAUGAUCUGUUUAGUCAGAAAGUGCUUCUUGUUAAUUUACUCUCUUCUACAGGGUGCUGGAAACCUUCUCUGCGAGGUCACUGUUACAGUCACUGUUGCACCUAGUUUGCCACUCAAGUUGGGAUGUGCGUAAAGUGGCUUAUGAUGCUCUGAAGAAGGUCAUCACGGGCUCUCCACAAUUGUGUGAUGAUCUCUUGCUUGAAUUUACAAGUUUUCUUUCUUUAGUUGGGCAGCGAAUGCAGUUUCGUAAAUUAAGUGUUGUGAACAGGUGGUCACUUGCUUGAACUUAUGUAUUGGCAACAUCUCGCAAGUUAUGUUUGCUGUAUAGUGAUGCAGAGACUUUGGUGGAUUCCCAAGCGCCCUUCCUUCCAUCUAUCGAGGUUUUAGUGAAGGCCCUGCUUGUCAUUUCAUCACGAGCUCUUGAUGCAAGAACUAAUGCUCGUGGAAAUUUUUUAUUCUGUUCGCACCAUCCAUGCUUAGUUAACACAAAGAAAAGAGACGCAGUAUGGAAGAAGUCGCAGCAUUGAUAAUUUGGUAUGAAUAAAGAAAAGAAACUAUUUAAAGUAAUUGUUUUAUCAGACACAUCGAAAAGUCUCAUUCAUUUCUUUUUUGCUCAGCGUUCGAUAUCGAAGGUUCUUCAUCAUCUUGGUCGUAUUUACAAGAUGAUAAUUCAGCAUCCUCGUGUGAUCAUCUUCUCAAAGCCACAAUAAUUUGCUGCAUUCUGAUUACUCAUUGUAAGAGAUUGUAACAUUUUGUUUCUAUAUGCAAUCCUUAGAAGCUAAAACAAACAUAGUUGCACCAGCACAAUGUGAGAAACAAGAAUAUAUUUACAUGUGCAAUCUUUCAGUUGUACAAUUUGACAUCUGAUUUUCUUAAUGAAACCUGUAACAUGUCUUUGAUGUCAUGAGUUCCCUGCUUUUUAUUGUAUUUGGUUCCCUUUCUUUGUAGAAUGUCUUUGAGGUUU
Papaver somniferum (opium poppy) is the source of this 1925-nucleotide long non-coding RNA. RefSeq lists it as uncharacterized. The record is from RefSeq and is a predicted model, not a curated record. The transcript is spliced from 8 exons. Lineage: Eukaryota; Viridiplantae; Streptophyta; Magnoliopsida; Ranunculales; Papaveraceae.